GCCCUUCCGUUAUAUGAUCAAAUCGCUUUCAAGAAAAAAAUCUGAACUAGUGUCUCCCCUGCAUCUGCUCUCUGCAGUUUAUGCGUCACGCAGUCUGAACUGGCCUAAAGGUCUUCACGAGGCUUAGAAAUACAUCAUCAAAACCCUCCUGGCAUUUCAUGUGUCUGCAGGAAGUGGUUCAUUUUUCAUGCUUUUGUGGGAGGAAUUACACCAUUUAAAAUCAGACUAAGAAAAAAAGAUUCAAUGAAAGAGAAAAGCCUUCUUGUGCAGGCUUGAGCUGAGGUGAACUUUCCAGUGCUUUUCCAGUGUUGCCUCCUGCCCUGCCCUGCCCUUACUCACCGGUUGCAGCAUCUGUACCUGCAGGACAGCGGCUCUGGGUUUCACCGCAGGCCUCUCAAAAAUGCCCUUUGCAGCACAGCAUACCCCCAGGGUCCUCUAGUGCGGGGUUUCUUCCUGUCGUUGGAAGACACGUUGCCAAAACACAGAGUUUUGCUUCUGCCCACGGCUUUGUCUCUCCCCGGCAGCUGUCAGGAGGAUCACUUGUGCGGUUCCCCUCCGCACCCUCACCAUUUGCUUCCUGCCAUCUCCCUGCCACAACGCCCAGAGCUGCAGUGACCUUGAGGCAUCAUGGUGUACACAGCAGUGUCCACCGCAUUGCUGUAGAGCUGCCGGCCCACCCGUGCUCCAUCUGAGAUCCACAGGGAGGGUCCUGGGAGGAAGCUCUUGGACUUCAGCAGAGCAGGAGGUGCCAGUGAGGGCUGGGAACAAAUGCAGAGGAGAGAGGCGCAGCUGAGGUGGCUGCUCACAGCCAUGUGAGGUCAGGAUCCCACAGCACAGAUUUUCUCUUAGGAAUGUUUCAAGUCUUCAUGAGCCUACAGUCAUACCAGUAGUGAUGCCAGGUCACUGUGUUACAGUACAAGGAAAAAUCAGAUGAGAACAAUAUUGGAACUGACCACCUGUGAUUGAAACUGUGUUAAGUUUCAAAGAGCAAGGACAAGAAACUAAGAAAACCAUCACGGACACCAGUUACGCUGCUUGGAAACCCCCUUUACCUUUCCUACCUUGAUUUGAGUAUUGAGGAUUCCAAUCAGUAGAGCUAAGUGAAAUUGAUCAAUGAUUGUUUUUAAAUAAGAAUAUUGAUAAGGUUAUAUAAUCAAAGGACCAAUCAUUAUAAAGGUUAAAUUUAAGAGCAAGCAUAGUGUGCAUAUUUAUGUAAAGAAACUUAUGUAAUGAUGAUUUGACAGAAAAAGUGUAUAAAAACUGAUGGAUUUUAAUACUAGUUCGGACACGCCUUUGGAGGAGCAAUCCCCCGUGUCCCCAGCACUGUAAUAAACGAAGUGCCUGCUUCUUAACGUCA
Long non-coding RNA from Aquila chrysaetos chrysaetos, 1357 nucleotides. RefSeq lists it as uncharacterized. The record is from RefSeq and is a predicted model, not a curated record. Lineage: Eukaryota; Metazoa; Chordata; Aves; Accipitriformes; Accipitridae. The transcript has 2 exons.